This 111-nucleotide small RNA is filed under the name Pongo abelii (Sumatran orangutan). Its description in RNAcentral is "processed transcript". Lineage: Eukaryota; Metazoa; Chordata; Mammalia; Primates; Hominidae. The record is from RNAcentral.
UGCUCAGCAGAGGAGCAACCAGAUGAACAAGAAGAAGACUUCAGGGAACCAGAUGUCUGCAGAAACAUCCCUCAUCAGAAGCGCUUGCUCAGUUGUACACAUGAGCCCGAG